GGGCCCGCACAAGCGGUGGAGCAUGUGGUUUAAUUCGAUGAUACGCGAGGAACCUUACCAGGGCUUAAAUGUAAGUUGCAUAGACCAGAGAUGGUCUUUUCUUCGGACUACUUACAAGGUGCUGCAUGGUUGUCGUCAGCUCGUGCCGUGAGGUGUCAGGUUAAGUCCUAUAACGAGCGCAACCCCUGUCGUUAGUUGCCAGCAAGUUAAGUUGGGCACUCUAGCGAGACUGCCGGUGCAAACCGCGAGGAAGGUGGGGAUGACGGUCAAAUCAUCACGGCCCUUACGUCCUGGGCUACACACGUGCUACAAUGGCCGGUACAGAGAGCAGCCACUCCGCGAGGAGGAGCGAAUCUAUAAAACCGGUCUCAGUUCGGAUCGCAGUCUGCAACUCGACUGCGUGAAGCUGGAAUCGCUAGUAA
RNAcentral lists this ribosomal RNA (422 nucleotides) under uncultured bacterium. RNAcentral describes it as "bacterial SSU rRNA". It matches the Rfam family "Bacterial small subunit ribosomal RNA", at positions 917 to 1341 of the family's 1533-position model. The record is from RNAcentral.